CGGGUGCGUAAUGCAUGGGAAUCUGCCUAGUAGUGGGGAAUAACCCGGCGAAAGCCGGGCUAAUGCCGCAUACGACCUACGGGUGAAAGCGGGGGAUCGCAAGACCUCGCGCUAUUAGAUGAGCCCAUGUCGGAUUAGCUAGUUGGUAGGGUAACGGCCUACCAAGGCGACGAUCCGUAGCUGGUCUGAGAGGACGGCCAGCCACACU
RNAcentral lists this ribosomal RNA (208 nucleotides) under uncultured beta proteobacterium. Its description in RNAcentral is "partial 16S ribosomal RNA". It matches the Rfam family "Bacterial small subunit ribosomal RNA", at positions 103 to 314 of the family's 1533-position model. The record is from RNAcentral. Lineage: Bacteria; Pseudomonadati; Pseudomonadota; Betaproteobacteria.